UUCUUUAUGUUCUUCUUGUGUUCUCCAUAUAUAUUGUUUAUUUAUUUUAUCUUCCAUGUGUCACAUCUGUUUUGCUCAACUAAUUUUGUUGGUCCCUAAUACGUAUUGGGUAAUGAUGUUGGACCUGUUUAGUUUCAUCAUGCUUAUAUCUGAAAUACUCUUUUUAUACAUGCUCAAAUAGUUACAUACUUAUACAAUGGGUCCUUGUUUUAUAGCUGUUUGAUGAAACUACCAUACGACGAUUCAAUUGCAGUAACGUUGACUUCAAAACUAUUAUGCCCCAUUUUUCAUUCGUCAUGGUAAAGACUUUUAUGCGGUGCACUAAUGCUUGAAACAAAAUUUUCAAUCAAAAUAUGGGCACAGAAGUGAAGUUUUAGUAGUUUUAUGCAAAGCAUAUUGGUAAGUUGGGUUAAUUAUGGGUUUGCCAAUUGCGAUGAAGGGCAGGGUAUAUUGGGCCAGUGCCUAGUAAAGAGUGUUGUGUAGCCUUUUAGAAGCAUGGCCAAUAUCUUAUUAUAAGAAGGCCUAGAGUUCUUCAUUGGCUAGUGUUUACCGAAUUUUAUUUGGGGCUUGUUUUUCAAGAGAACGAAGUUGCUUAUCAAGAACCAAUUGAAAAAUAAUUAGUAUUAGACGCAAAAACUAUCCUUUUAACAGAGAAAAUCUGUGGACACAACUUUUGUGCCACAACUUUGAUGUGGCUAAUUGUGAAUGGUGGAGAUAAAGUGGUAGGUUUAUAUGAAAGUGAUAAACAGUCACUCACAAUCUGUCACGUUAGAGUUGUGACAAAAAUUGUGAUCCUAGAAGAGUAGCGUUAAGAAGGAAACUAACAAUAAAUAUUCUUUCAGUUACUUGAUUUGUUGCGAUCAUCAUAAUAGCAAGUGUUUAGGCCGUUACUCUUACCCCUUUUAAUAGGUGCCAUUCAUGUGUUGAUAUUGGUGGCUACUUACCAUUGCAUCAUUACAUGCAAUUCUUCAAAACUACACCUCAAUAGUGCUUGUAGUAACUGGUAACCUUGAAAUUUAGCUAUCAACUGUCUCAAACUCCAAUAAAUCCCAGAUUAGAAAGGAGAGAGGUAAACAUAUAACUAUGAUCGCACUUUGGAAAACAAAGAGAUAAAGAAAUUACUAUCAUCCCAUAGUGAAAAGUUGUAAAUAAUGAAUUGUAUUUGAAGCCUUACAUACAGGCAUUAGUGUUAGGGAUGUGGAGGCUUUAAUCCAGGUGAGGGAUUUGGCCCAAAGUGGUCAUCACAUGAGUAGUUUGGUGGAUUUUGGGAUUGAAAGAUGACUUUGGGGCUUAAACGUGCAUGCAUUUUGGUUGGCUUUGCCCAUGGAUGUAGGCAUGAAAUUGAUUGAUCAUGCUAAAAUUUUCUGUAACAUGUGGAUGGCUUGUAUCAUCUUUUCUAUAAGUGUGCAUCUGCUAGCCCCAAAUUUAAGCAUACUGAUAGUUUUUGUUCAACAGUGGAAUGCACAAGCUGGAUUUUUCAUGACUAUUUAAAACUGUUACAUAAAUGAAUGUGUGGCAAAUAAUCUACCAUAUUUCAGUCUCAGACAUUUUAAGUACCCACAACUUGAGCCUUCUACCUGGACAUAUCACAUCAGAAAUCCCUCUUUCCAUAACUGGAGUAGGAUUCUAAAACGGUCAUUCAUUGAAUCUUUUUGUAAAGCAGAAGAUCAAAACAACAUAAUCUUUUUGUACAGCAGAAGAUCAAAACAACAUAAUGAGCCUAUUAAGCAAAGUUUACAUGGAAAUCUCUCAUUGCCAUUAGGAACUCGAAUUGUCUACAUUUCAACAGUUAGAAUAUCGCAGAGCAAAAGAGCCUGUGUCCCAGCAAGGACUGUUCUACUCAUAUCAUUGGAACCUUGAUGUAAUUUUGGAAGGUAACAUAUGUCACAACUCACAAGGUCAUCCUCACUUGAUAUGAGCUUUUCCUUUGGUAAGUGCAUUCUAUGGUUUUGGGCCAUGAGUGGGUCUAACCAUCUCUAAAGGGUUUAGUAUCUGGUCAUUUGCUAUCAACAAAGUGCAUGAUAUGAAGUCAGUUAACUCUGGAAGAUGAAUGAAUUUUAAAAACUUCAGUCCCUGCAUGUGCUUUGUAAUGGUGGGGCUAACUUAACCGCCCACAAUCUCAGUUGGCAACAAUGUCCCUUUUUGAAGCACAUUGACAAGCUUUCAUGAGUUCUGCUCAUUGUAUGACAGGGACAUUGGUCGUAAUUUUAUAUCUGUUAUCUUUCCUUUCUAUUUUCAAUAUGGUUCCCCCUGUGGCAGGCAGUAAUUUAAUCAAUCAUGGCAGUAAUUUAAUCAAUCAUAUGAAGUAUGUGAAACUAUGUAAAUUUGGAUGCCACUGUGCUUUUCAACCAAGGUAUUUCAACUCUAGCUUCCCCUAUUAAAACCGUUCCACAAUUGACACAAAAAUAGUUCAUAUCAACAGUGAUAAAAUACUGCAAGACACUCAAAAUACACACAAUUUGGUGACAUGCUGUGAUUAAGGUACUUUUCCAAAGCAGAUUCUGUGUAAUUGAAGACUCCAUUGACUCCCAAAAAUAAGAGGGAACCAAAAAAAAGAAAAAAA
Quercus lobata is the source of this 2563-nucleotide long non-coding RNA. RefSeq lists it as uncharacterized. The record is from RefSeq and is a predicted model, not a curated record. The transcript has 2 exons. Lineage: Eukaryota; Viridiplantae; Streptophyta; Magnoliopsida; Fagales; Fagaceae.